CCUACGGGGGGCUGCAGUGGGGAAUAUUGCACAAUGGGGGAAACCCUGAUGCAGCAACGCCGCGUGAGCGAUGAAGGCCUUCGGGUUGUAAAGCUCUGUCCUCAGGGAAGAAUACUGACGGUACUUUUGGUGGUAGCCCCGCCUACAUAAGUGCCAGCAGCCGCGGAAAUACGUGGGGGGAUAGUUUUAUCCGGAUUUACUGGGCGUAAAGGGUGCGUAGGCGGUUAUUAGAGUCAUGGGUGAAAGGCGGCGGCUCAACCGUAGUAUGCCGUUGAAACGGGAGGGCUUGAGUGCAGGAGAGGAGACUGGAAUUCCCAGUGUAGCGGUGAAAUGCGUAGAUAUUGGGAGGAACACCGAUGGCGAAGGCGGGUCUCUGGACUAUUACUGACGCUGAGGCACGAAAGCGUGGGGAGCGAACAGGAUUAGAUACCCGGGUAGUC
RNAcentral lists this ribosomal RNA (440 nucleotides) under uncultured bacterium. Its description in RNAcentral is "bacterial SSU rRNA". It matches the Rfam family "Bacterial small subunit ribosomal RNA", at positions 338 to 795 of the family's 1533-position model. The record is from RNAcentral.